UCUCUGGCGGCCUAGUGGUCAGAGCAUCUGCCUCAGAUGUGGGAGGUCAUGGGUUCAAUCCCUGGCCAAGCCAUACCAAAGAG
Non-coding RNA from Potamilus streckersoni, 83 nucleotides. Lineage: Eukaryota; Metazoa; Mollusca; Bivalvia; Unionida; Unionidae. The record is from the annotation of a GenBank genome assembly.